CUUUGAGCGUGAUCACCUUUGGCUUCUAUAGUUUCAACCAUUACCUACACAUUCACGGCACAUCAAGCAGGGAAGUGGAACCGAAGGUAUGCCUAGAGGAAUGAGUUACUACAUUUCACUACUUGCGGUUCUAUUGUGUUGGCUGCCUUCUCUUCACGCGGCUUUUAGUUGCCCGGAGAAUAAAGAAAAUGGUCGGUGUCGUGCCGAUGGCACCUCACCCGAAAAUAAGUGCCCGGAUGUAAAUGUUUAUUGCAUUGCCAACCAAGAAAUUUGUACCUGUACUAAAACCCUGCAUCGCAGUGAAGACUCCAGAUGCGUGAACUAUAAAGAUUGCUUUACGAGAACGUACGAUACCCGUAGGUUCCUGAAAAGACGUGGUUGUAGUUACCUCGUGGGGGCAACAGCACCUCAAACCUUUCAAGAGAAGUGCAUGAGAUCUUACUUCCUGUCCGAAUCUGGGACUGAAAUUAAUCAUCAAGUGAAGUAUGUUGA
This is a long non-coding RNA of Rhipicephalus sanguineus (brown dog tick), 492 nucleotides long. RefSeq lists it as uncharacterized. The record is from RefSeq and is a predicted model, not a curated record. The transcript is spliced from 5 exons. NCBI's taxonomy places the organism in Eukaryota, Metazoa, Arthropoda, Arachnida, Ixodida, Ixodidae.